UGCAGUCGAGCGGUAGAGAGGUGCUUGCACCUCUUGAGAGCGGCGGACGGGUGAGUAAAGCCUAGGAAUCUGCCUGGUAGUGGGGGAUAACGCUCGGAAACGGACGCUAAUACCGCAUACGUCCUACGGGAGAAAGCAGGGGACCUUCGGGCCUUGCGCUAUCAGAUGAGCCUAGGUCGGAUUAGCUAGUUGGUGAGGUAAUGGCUCACCAAGGCGACGAUCCGUAACUGGUCUGAGAGGAUGAUCAGUCACACUGGAACUGAGACACGGUCCAGACUCCUACGGGAGGCAGCAGUGGGGAAUAUUGGACAAUGGGCGAAAGCCUGAUCCAGCCAUGCCGCGUGUGUGAAGAAGGUCUUCGGAUUGUAAAGCACUUUAAGUUGGGAGGAAGGGCAUUAACCUAAUACGUUAGUGUUUUGACGUUACCGACAGAAUAAGCACCGGCUAACUCUGUGCCAGCAGCCGCGGUAAUACAGAGGGUGCAAGCGUUAAUCGGAAUUACUGGGCGUAAAGCGCGCGUAGGUGGUUCGUUAAGUUGGAUGUGAAAUCCCCGGGCUCAACCUGGGAACUGCAUUCAAAACUGUCGAGCUAGAGUAUGGUAGAGGGUGGUGGAAUUUCCUGUGUAGCGGUGAAAUGCGUAGAUAUAGGAAGGAACACCAGUGGCGAAAGCGACCACCUGGACUGAUACUGACACUGAGGUGCGAAAGCGUGGGGAGCAAACAGGAUUAGGAUACCCUGGUAGUCCACGCCGUAAACGAUGUCAACU
RNAcentral lists this ribosomal RNA (766 nucleotides) under Pseudomonas brassicacearum. Its description in RNAcentral is "bacterial SSU rRNA". It matches the Rfam family "Bacterial small subunit ribosomal RNA", at positions 56 to 817 of the family's 1533-position model. The record is from RNAcentral. Lineage: Bacteria; Pseudomonadati; Pseudomonadota; Gammaproteobacteria; Pseudomonadales; Pseudomonadaceae.